ACUCCUACGGGAGGCAGCAGUGGGGAAUCUUAGACAAUGGGCGAAAGCCUGAUCUAGCGAUGCCGCGUGUGUGACGAAGGCCUUAGGGUCGUAAAGCACUUUCGCCAGGGAUGAUAAUGACAGUACCUGGUAAAGAAACCCCGGCUAACUCCGUGCCAGCAGCCGCGGUAAUACGGGAGGGGGUUAGCGUUGUUCGGAAUUACUGGGGCGUAAAGCGCGCGUAGGCGGACUAUUAAGUCAGGGGUGAAAUCCCGGGGCUCAACCCCGGAACUGCCUUUGAUACUGGUAGUCUUGAGUUCGAGAGAGGUGAGUGGAAUUCCGAGUGUAGAGGUGAAAUUCGUAGAUAUUCGGAGGAACACCAGUGGCGAAGGCGGCUCACUGGCUCGAUACUGACGCUGAGGUGCGAAAGUGUGGGAGCAAACAGGAUUAGAUACCCUGGUAGCGACUGA
This 449-nucleotide ribosomal RNA is filed under the name uncultured bacterium. RNAcentral describes it as "bacterial SSU rRNA". It matches the Rfam family "Bacterial small subunit ribosomal RNA", at positions 335 to 803 of the family's 1533-position model. The record is from RNAcentral.